RNAcentral lists this ribosomal RNA (403 nucleotides) under uncultured bacterium. RNAcentral's name for it is "bacterial SSU rRNA". It matches the Rfam family "Bacterial small subunit ribosomal RNA", at positions 231 to 627 of the family's 1533-position model. The record is from RNAcentral.
CGAUGGCUGAUUAGCUAGUUGGUGGGGUAAAGGCCUACCAAGGCGACGAUCAGUAGCUGGUCUGAGAGGACGACCAGCCACACUGGGACUGAGACACGGCCCAGACUCCUACGGGAGGCAGCAGUGGGGAAUUUUGGACAAUGGGCGAAAGCCUGAUCCAGCAAUGCCGCGUGUGUGAAGAAGGCCUUCGGGUUGUAAAGCACUUUUGUCCGGAAAGAAAUCCUUGGCUCAAUACAGUCGGGGGAUGACGGUACCGGAAGAAUAAGCACCGGCUAACUACGUGCCAGCAGCCGCGGUAAUACGUAGGGUGCGAGCGUUAAUCGGAAUUACUGGGCGUAAAGCGUGCGCAGGCGGUCUGUUAAGACAGAUGUGAAAUCCCCGGGCUCAACCUGGGAACUGCAUU